AUUAUACUCCCUCUGUCCCGAAAUACUUGUUGAAGAAAUGGAUAAAAAUGGAUGUAUCUAGAACUAAAAUAAGUCUACAUACAUCCAUUUUUUCAACAAGUAUUUCCGGUCGGAGGGAGUAGUUG
Triticum aestivum (bread wheat) is the source of this 125-nucleotide non-coding RNA. The record is from Rfam. Lineage: Eukaryota; Viridiplantae; Streptophyta; Magnoliopsida; Poales; Poaceae.